AAUCGAUUUUCGAAUUUCUUUUUUUUUUUUCGCUGCCGGUUAUGAAAUGCUGUAGCAUCAGCUUUAUUUUGUACAGCCGUUCUUUUUUUUUUUUUUGUCCACAGCAAUUCGCGGACCGACUCUCGUUCUACCGUUGAGUAGCAGUUACCAAAAUCGGAGAUUCAGAUAGGAGAAGAGGAAUGCAAAAUUCCCCAACAUAAAGAAAUGGGUAGUUUUCUAUCCUGUUUAUAUUAAUUCGAAGAAAACAGUAGCUGAGGGGAGGCGAAUCAGCUUGAGUAGAGUAUGUGAAUGCCAUUGAGAUUGAUAAGGUAUACCCAUGUGAUUUCAUGCAAAGAGGGAGAGUGAGGGUCCGGUUGAGAAAGGAAGAUGGAACUUUGUACAAUCCAGGCAUUUUUUCGUGAAAGCGGCUGAUGCUCCAUGUUGCAAAGUUGGUACCUAGACAUCCAGCGAGAAGUAAGAAGCAGGAAGCUCCUUCCACAUCAAAGUACUGCUGGACCCUUCCAAAACUGGGAAGAAUGGAAGAAAAACUGAUAGCUCCUUUACUCCCCAUGCAACAGAAGAUCAUGGAUUUCCAUUGAACAUUUCAAAUUUCCCAUUGAGUUAAACAUAUUCAUAUGGUAACAAAUUUUGUCAGUUCAUCCGAGUGAGCUUCAGGUUAUAUGUUUCCAAACUAAUUCCAUAAAUUUUUUAUAGGUCAAUCAUUGAAACCUUGACUUUAUUGCUCUUUAGAUUUUGGCUUGUCAAAUGCUGCUUCCGGUCUUUACCGUUCUAUUUAUUGUGUGUAUAAAAUUUUUUGAACCCACAACUUUCAAGUGUGAACUUCCUCUAAUUAAAAGUAGGCAAUAUUAAAUUUUGAAUUGUAUGAAUCCAUGCUCCUAUGAUAUAGUCUUUACUUGCAAUAAAUGUUGUUAUAUUAAUGGAACUAUUGUGAAUAUUCAAGAGUGAUAUCUGGGGUGUGGAUAUUUCCUAUCUUUUUUCAUUUAUAACAUCACUGUCAUCUGAUUUAUUUAUGUUGCCACAAUUUCUUUUACUCACAAUAUUAUAUACUUUAAUCUAAGUUAUACACUUUAGUUAUUGAACAUCAAAGUUGAAAUCACUAAGACAAAAGAAAAAAAAAACAAAAAAAAAUUUAUUCUAUGUUUAAAAGAUCACCAAAAAAGAUAGAGAACAAUUUUGUUCAUAUUGAAAAUUU
Long non-coding RNA from Durio zibethinus, 1192 nucleotides. RefSeq lists it as uncharacterized. Lineage: Eukaryota; Viridiplantae; Streptophyta; Magnoliopsida; Malvales; Malvaceae. The record is from RefSeq and is a predicted model, not a curated record.